RNAcentral lists this long non-coding RNA (340 nucleotides) under Arachis ipaensis. Its description in RNAcentral is "long non-coding RNA (AIPA_LNC002476)". Lineage: Eukaryota; Viridiplantae; Streptophyta; Magnoliopsida; Fabales; Fabaceae. The record is from RNAcentral.
AAAUCUUUUCUUUUUAGUUGGAUGAAAUCUUUCGAAAGUCUUUAAUUUGUCUAUAAUUAUAGACAAUACCGCCUAUAUUUUCUAUGGGAUUCGAACCUGAACUUUAUUUACGAUUUGGUUCUUCUAUAUCAUCGGCACCUAUUGCUCAUAUUUCAUGGGCAAAGAGAACUACCAAAGUGUUUCAAAGAAAGGGGGUUAUCCUGACGUAGGUCUGCUUAUGGCCUAGAUCAACUUAAGUUUAAUGGACUCUCUAACGAACUACUAAAAAAAAUUGAAAGUAUCAAGAAAUGAAACCCUAUACACCUUAAAGUUCAUAAGAUAGGCCGAAAAGAGAAUUUUU